RNAcentral lists this ribosomal RNA (253 nucleotides) under uncultured bacterium. Its description in RNAcentral is "partial 16S ribosomal RNA". It matches the Rfam family "Bacterial small subunit ribosomal RNA", at positions 524 to 776 of the family's 1533-position model. The record is from RNAcentral.
UACGUAGGGGGCUAGCGUUGUCCGGAAUCAUUGGGCGUAAAGAGCGUGUAGGCGGCCCGGUAAGUCCGCUGUGAAAGUCGGGGGCUCAACCCUCGAAAGCCGGUGGAUACUGUCGGGCUAGAGUGCGGAAGAGGCGAGUGGAAUUCCUGGUGUAGCGGUGAAAUGCGCAGAUAUCAGGAGGAACACCGAUUGCGAAGGCAGCUCGCUGGGACGUAACUGACGCUGAGACGCGAAAGCGUGGGGAGCGAACAGG